RNAcentral lists this ribosomal RNA (497 nucleotides) under uncultured bacterium. RNAcentral describes it as "partial 16S ribosomal RNA". It matches the Rfam family "Bacterial small subunit ribosomal RNA", at positions 28 to 507 of the family's 1533-position model. The record is from RNAcentral.
GAUGAACGCUGGCGGCAUGCCUAAUACAUGCAAGUCGAGCGAACAGAUGAGGAGCUUGCUCCUCUGACGUUAGCGGCAGACGGGUGAGUAACACGUGGAUAACCUACCUAUAAGACUGGGAUAACUUCGGGAAACCGGAGCUAAUACCGGAUAAUAUAUUGAACCGCAUGGUUCAAUAGUGAAAGACGGUUUUGCUGUCACUUAUAGAUGGAUCCGCGCCGCAUUAGCUAGUUGGUAAGGUAACGGCUGACCAAGGCAACGAUGCGUAGCCGACCUGAGAGGGUUACCGACCCCACUGGAACUGAGACACGCUCCAGACUCCUACGGGAGGCAGCAGUAGGGGAUCUUCCGCAAUGAGCGAAAGCCUGACGGAGCAAUACCGCGUGCGUGAUGACGGUCUUCGGAUCGUAAAACUCUGUUAGUAGGGAUGAACAAAUGUGUAAGUAAAGCUACACCUCUUGACGGUACCUAAUCAGAAAGCCCCGGCUAACUACGUG